This 74-nucleotide transfer RNA is filed under the name Candidatus Woesearchaeota archaeon. Its description in RNAcentral is "tRNA-Tyr". It matches the Rfam family "tRNA". From Rfam's summary of the family: Transfer RNA (tRNA) molecules are approximately 80 nucleotides in length. Their secondary structure includes four short double-helical elements and three loops (D, anti-codon, and T loops). Lineage: Archaea; Nanobdellati; Candidatus Woesearchaeota. The record is from RNAcentral.
CCUCCCUUAGUUCAGUGGUUUAGAACGCUCCGCUGUAGACGGAGAGAUCCCCGGUUCGAAUCCGGGAGGGGGGA